GGAGAACACGACAGAAGAAGAAAACUGUUGCAGAAGGAAAAUUGCAGGAGCACAAAUACAAGAGGAGACAUUUUCACAGGUAUAUAGAUCCUGUCAAUUAAUUCUUGUUGGGGGGCAACCCUAAAAUCAUUCUCUUGGAUGAUGAAUCCAUAUUGGGUGGCAACCCUUAAAUGAUGAACAACAAAUCCAUGAGAGGAUUUUUGUUUAACAAAGCUCUGCCGAGCAAAAGAAAAUCCUUUGAAAUGGAUACAAAAUAUUGGAUACAAAAUCCAUCAUGGGUGUGUAACCCUCAAUCAAAUACCCUGAAUGGUAUAUCCAUUUUUGGGCAUAAAACUCAUUCAGUGGGUUCUCAAGAGCACAAAUCCAAUUUGGGUACAAAACCCAC
This 385-nucleotide long non-coding RNA is filed under the name Prunus dulcis (almond). Its description in RNAcentral is "sRNA ncRNA". The record is from RNAcentral. Lineage: Eukaryota; Viridiplantae; Streptophyta; Magnoliopsida; Rosales; Rosaceae.